This is a non-coding RNA of Pangasius djambal, 73 nucleotides long. The record is from the annotation of a GenBank genome assembly. NCBI's taxonomy places the organism in Eukaryota, Metazoa, Chordata, Actinopteri, Siluriformes, Pangasiidae.
GAGGUGGUGGCUCAGGAGUUAUGGCUUUGGGCUGUUGAGCAGAAGGUUGUGAGUUCAAAUCUCAGCAACUGCU